Molecule: ribosomal RNA, 119 nt
Filed under: Dichanthelium oligosanthes
Lineage: Eukaryota; Viridiplantae; Streptophyta; Magnoliopsida; Poales; Poaceae
Source: RNAcentral
GGAUGUGAUCAUACCAACACUAAAGCAUCAGAUCCCAUCAGAACUCCCAAAUUAAUAGUGCUUGGGCCAAAGUAGUACUAGGAUGGGUGACCUCCUCGAAAACCCUCGUGUUGCAUUCC